This 253-nucleotide ribosomal RNA is filed under the name uncultured bacterium. RNAcentral's name for it is "partial 16S ribosomal RNA". It matches the Rfam family "Bacterial small subunit ribosomal RNA", at positions 524 to 776 of the family's 1533-position model. The record is from RNAcentral.
GACAGAGGGUGCAACCGUUGCUCGGAAUCACUGGGCGUAAAGGGCGCGUAGGUGGCCUGAUAAGUAGGAGGUGAAAUCCUGGGGCUUAACCUCAGGGCUGCCUUCUAGACUGUCCGGCUCGAGCACAGUAGAGGCAGGUGGAAUUCCCGGUGUAGCGGUGGAAUGCGUAGAGAUCGGGAAGAACAUCGGUGGCGACGGCGGCCUGCUGGGCUGUUGCUGACACUGAGGCGCGACAGCGUGGGGAGCAAACAGG